AUGCCAAACACUUUGCCAUCUAGGAUAGUCUAUAUUUGUAUUUCAUUCAGUUAUCUCAUAUUUCCAGUAAAAAAACGCUUCGCUUUGGGGUUUUGGAAUAAUCUUCAGGAAGUUGGUGACGAGUUAGUAUUACUUAUGGAAAUUGUAGAAAAUAGCCCCUACAGAAUUACAAAGAGCGGGAAUAAGGAAGCUGGCAAACUUAGUGCUUCACCGUAUUUCAUAGAAAGGAAAUAG
This 234-nucleotide ribosomal RNA is filed under the name Triticum aestivum (bread wheat). RNAcentral describes it as "partial small subunit ribosomal RNA". Lineage: Eukaryota; Viridiplantae; Streptophyta; Magnoliopsida; Poales; Poaceae. The record is from RNAcentral.